UCCCAGACUCCUACGGGAGGCAGCAGUGAGGAAUAUUGGUCAAUGGCCGGAAGGCUGAACCAGCCAAGCCGCGUGAAGGACGAAGGUGCCAAGCAUUGUAAACUUCUUUUGUCAAGGGACAAAAUCAGGCUCGAGAGCCUGACCGAGGGUACUUGAAGAAAAAGCAUCGGCUAACUCCGUGCCAGCAGCCGCGGUAAUACGGAGGAUGCGAGCGUUAUCCGGAUUUAUUGGGUUUAAAGGGUGGGUAGGGGGGGCUGUAAGUCAGGUGUAAAAGGCCGGGGCCCAACCCCGGGCGAGCCGUUGAAACUGGCUGUCUUGAGAUGUCGAGAGGUAUGCGGAAUGCGCAGUGUAGCGAUGAAAUGCUUAGAUAUUGCGCAGAACUCCGAUUGCGAAGGCAGCAUACCGGCGGCGAUCUGACGCUGAGGCACGAAAGCGUGGGUAUCGAACAGGAUUAGAUACCCCAGUA
RNAcentral lists this ribosomal RNA (466 nucleotides) under uncultured bacterium. Its description in RNAcentral is "bacterial SSU rRNA". It matches the Rfam family "Bacterial small subunit ribosomal RNA", at positions 329 to 792 of the family's 1533-position model. The record is from RNAcentral.